UGAAUGACUCUUGGCAAUGGAUAUCUUGGCUCUCGUGUCGAUGAAGAACGAAGCAAAAACGCGACAUUUGGUGUGAAUUGCAGAAUCUUGUGAACCAUCGAGUCUUUGAAUGCAAGUUGUGCCCGAGACCAUUAGGUCGAUGGCACGUAUGUUUGGGUGUCAGG
Molecule: ribosomal RNA, 164 nt
Filed under: Allium oreophilum
Lineage: Eukaryota; Viridiplantae; Streptophyta; Magnoliopsida; Asparagales; Amaryllidaceae
Description: 5.8S ribosomal RNA
Rfam family: 5.8S ribosomal RNA
About the family: 5.8S ribosomal RNA (5.8S rRNA) is a component of the large subunit of the eukaryotic ribosome.
Source: RNAcentral